This 346-nucleotide long non-coding RNA is filed under the name Erythranthe guttata (spotted monkey flower). RNAcentral's name for it is "long non-coding RNA (EGUT_LNC001178)". The record is from RNAcentral. Lineage: Eukaryota; Viridiplantae; Streptophyta; Magnoliopsida; Lamiales; Phrymaceae.
CUGUUCGUUUUUUAGUAUCAAGUACUUUUCGUCAUAUACUUCUGUUCGUAUAUGUGAAUUUGUUUGCUAUAAUUUUGUGUAAGACUUAAUUUCUGACCUCGUGUUUUCCAGAAAUUCAUGGUUUGGUGAAUUGAUCAAAGUCGGGUUCAAUAUUCUUUUUUCCCCUCUUUGUUUUGAUUGCAUUGCUUUUAACUGUUCUUUAAUUUGAUCUCCUGCAUAUAUACUUAGGCAUAUAUACUUACGUACCGAUGAACUUCUUAAAAGCCCUGAACGGGAUGGCCUUUUAGUUUGAUUGUGGAAUAUUAGGUGUUUGCUUUUCUUGUUCAAUUAGUUUGCACAAUGCGGU